UAAUAAGUGUUUUAUGGCACUUUUUAAAUCCAUAUCCACCUUGUGUGCAAUGUCAGUCGAUCUUCUUCAUGGAGAUCGACCAAACAUCAACCUUUAUUUUUUAACUCUUUGUCUGAAAAAUAUUAUGAAUAAACAAUUCUUAAAACA
This 147-nucleotide unclassified non-coding RNA is filed under the name soil metagenome. RNAcentral describes it as "partial internal transcribed spacer 1". The record is from RNAcentral.